This 1433-nucleotide long non-coding RNA is filed under the name Equus caballus (horse). Its description in RNAcentral is "lncRNA (ENSECAG00000058604.1)". Lineage: Eukaryota; Metazoa; Chordata; Mammalia; Perissodactyla; Equidae. The record is from RNAcentral.
AGUGUUCAGGCAUAGUUCAGCCCUGGCUCACACGUGACGCAGGUGUGCCACAGAACUGGCUCCCAUGAGGCUGACACAUGAUACAGGCUUUAGUCACACAUGGCUCACACAUGGUUCAGGUGUAGCUCAUGCAUAUAUGUGGUGUUGGACAGGUGUGGCUCACAUGUGAUUUUUGGAUGUGUGGCACAUGGUUCAGGCAUGGCACGCAAGUUGUGCCAGUGUGGCUGACACGUGCUUCAAGUGAGGCUGACCUGCGGUUCAAGAGUGACUAGCACUUGGUUCCGGCCUGACUGGCACGUGACUUGGUGCGGCUGAGGCUUGACACAGGUGUGGUUCACACGUUGUUCAGGCGUGGCUGACACGCAACUUAGGUGAGGUGGAAAUGUGACACAGGCGUGCCUCACACGUCAUGCAGGUGUGGUUCACACAUGGUUCAUGCAUGGCCUUCUUGUGAUUCAGGCGUGGCUGGUGCAUGGAGUACGCAUGGGUGGCAGGUGGCUCAGGCGUGGCUGAAAUGUGACUCCAGCAUGUAUGAAACAGGACUCCGGUGUGGCAGAUACGUGUGUCAGGCAUGGCUGACACGUGACUCAGGCAUUCAUCGCCCAGUAUCCAUGUGUGGAGGAAAGGUGAUCAUGCAGGAGUCACAUGCCAUACAUGGGUGGCUCCCAUGUGGCUACAGGUUGCUGAAACGUGGCUCCCACAUACUCAGUAAUGACUGCCACGUGGCUCACGCAUGGCUCAGCUGUGUCUCAUGGGUGGCUCCCCUCUGGUUCAUGCAUGGUUCAAGUAUGGAACAUGUGUGUUUCACAGGUUCUUCAGAUGUGGUUCAAGGGUGUCUCCCAUGUGGUUCCUGCAUGGCUCACACAUGGUUCAGGUGUAAUUCAGGCGUGGAUCUCACACGACUCAUGUGGGUCACAUAUGGUUGUGGACACUCUCACAUGUGGUUCAGGCAUAGCUCAGCCAUGGCUCACAUGUGACGCAGACGUGCCACAGAGCUGGUUCACAUGUGGCUGAUACAUGCUACAGGCUUUGGUCACACAUGGCUCACACAUGGUUCAGGUGUGGCUCAUGCAGGUCUGUGGUGUUGGUCAGGUGUGGCUCACAUGUGUUUUUGGCAUGGAUGGCACGUGGUUCAGGCAUGGCAGGCAAGUUGUGCCAGUGUGGCUGACACGUGCUUCAAGUGAGGCUGACCUGUGGUUUAAGUGUGACUGACACUUGGUUCAAGCCUGGCAGGCCCGUGACUUGGUGUGGCUAAGCCUUGACACAGGCGUGGUUCACACUUUGUUCAGGUGUGCCAUCACAUGACUCAGGGGAGGUGGAAACGUGACACAGGUGUGCCUGACACAUCACACAGGUGUGGUUCACACAUGUAUCAUGCAUGGCCUUUGUGUGGUUCAAGGGUGGCUGAUGGAUGGUGCACGCAUGGGUGGCAG